GACGAACGCUGGCGGCGUGCCUAAUACAUGCAAGUCGAACGAGAGCGACCGGUGCUUGCACUGGUCAAUCUAGUGGCGAACGGGUGAGUAACACGUGGGUAACCUGCCCAUCAGAGGGGGAUAACAUCCGGAAACGGAUGCUAAAACCGCAUAGGUCUUCGAACCGCAUGGUUUGAAGAGGAAAAGAGGCGCAAGCUUCUGCUGAUGGAUGGACCCGCGGUGCAUUAGCUAGUUGGUGAGGUAACGGCUCACCAAGGCCGUGAUGCAUAGCCGACCUGAGAGGGUGAUCGGCCACAUUGGGACUGAGACACGGCCCAACCUCCUACGGAGGCAGCAGUAGGGAAUCUUCCGCAAUGGACGCAAGUCUGACGGAGCAACGCCGCGUGAGUGAAGAAGGUUUUCGGAUCGUAAAACUCUGUUGUUAGAGAAGAACAAGUGCUAGAGUAACUGUUAGCGCCUUGACGGUAUCUAACCAGAAAGCCACGGCUAACUACGUG
RNAcentral lists this ribosomal RNA (497 nucleotides) under uncultured bacterium. RNAcentral's name for it is "partial 16S ribosomal RNA". It matches the Rfam family "Bacterial small subunit ribosomal RNA", at positions 28 to 507 of the family's 1533-position model. The record is from RNAcentral.